This 1372-nucleotide ribosomal RNA is filed under the name uncultured bacterium. Its description in RNAcentral is "bacterial SSU rRNA". It matches the Rfam family "Bacterial small subunit ribosomal RNA", at positions 28 to 1381 of the family's 1533-position model. The record is from RNAcentral.
GAUGAACGCUGGCGGCGUGCCUAAUACAUGCAAGUCGAGCGAACGGACGAGAAGCUUGCUUCUCUGAUGUUAGCGGCGGACGGGUGAGUAACACGUGGAUAACCUACCUAUAAGACUGGGAUAACUUCGGGAAACCGGAGCUAAUACCGGAUAAUAUUUUGAACCGCAUGGUUCAAAAGUGAAAGACGGUCUUGCUGUCACUUAUAGAUGGAUCCGCGCUGCAUUAGCUAGUUGGUAAGGUAACGGCUUACCAAGGCAACGAUGCAUAGCCGACCUGAGAGGGUGAUCGGCCACACUGGAACUGAGACACGGUCCAGACUCCUACGGGAGGCAGCAGUAGGGAAUCUUCCGCAAUGGGCGAAAGCCUGACGGAGCAACGCCGCGUGAGUGAUGAAGGUCUUCGGAUCGUAAAACUCUGUUAUUAGGGAAGAACAUAUGUGUAAGUAACUGUGCACAUCUUGACGGUACCUAAUCAGAAAGCCACGGCUAACUACGUGCCAGCAGCCGCGGUAAUACGUAGGUGGCAAGCGUUAUCCGGAAUUAUUGGGCGUAAAGCGCGCGUAGGCGGUUUUUUAAGUCUGAUGUGAAAGCCCACGGCUCAACCGUGGAGGGUCAUUGGAAACUGGAAAACUUGAGUGCAGAAGAGGAAAGUGGAAUUCCAUGUGUAGCGGUGAAAUGCGCAGAGAUAUGGAGGAACACCAGUGGCGAAGGCGACUUUCUGGUCUGUAACUGACGCUGAUGUGCGAAAGCGUGGGGAUCAAACAGGAUUAGAUACCCUGGUAGUCCACGCCGUAAACGAUGAGUGCUAAGUGUUAGGGGGUUUCCGCCCCUUAGUGCUGCAGCUAACGCAUUAAGCACUCCGCCUGGGGAGUACGACCGCAAGGUUGAAACUCAAAGGAAUUGACGGGGACCCGCACAAGCGGUGGAGCAUGUGGUUUAAUUCGAAGCAACGCGAAGAACCUUACCAAAUCUUGACAUCCUUUGACAACUCUAGAGAUAGAGCUUUCCCCUUCGGGGGACAAAGUGACAGGUGGUGCAUGGUUGUCGUCAGCUCGUGUCGUGAGAUGUUGGGUUAAGUCCCGCAACGAGCGCAACCCUUAAGCUUAGUUGCCAUCAUUAAGUUGGGCACUCUAAGUUGACUGCCGGUGACAAACCGGAGGAAGGUGGGGAUGACGUCAAAUCAUCAUGCCCCUUAUGAUUUGGGCUACACACGUGCUACAAUGGACAAUACAAAGGGCAGCGAAACCGCGAGGUCAAGCAAAUCCCAUAAAGUUGUUCUCAGUUCGGAUUGUAGUCUGCAACUCGACUACAUGAAGCUGGAAUCGCUAGUAAUCGUAGAUCAGCAUGCUACGGUGAGUACGUUCCCGGGUCU